RNAcentral lists this unclassified non-coding RNA (334 nucleotides) under soil metagenome. RNAcentral's name for it is "partial contains 5.8S ribosomal RNA, internal transcribed spacer 2, and large subunit ribosomal RNA". The stretch from base 1 to 120 matches the Rfam family "5.8S ribosomal RNA", at positions 35 to 154 of the family's 154-position model. The record is from RNAcentral.
GAUGAAGAACGUAGCGAAAUGCGAUAAGUAAUGUGAAUUGCAGAAUUCAGUGAAUCAUCGAAUCUUUGAACGCACAUUGCGCCCCCCAGUAUUCUGGCGGGCAUGCCUGUUCGAGCGUCAUUUCAACCAUCAAGCCCUGCUUGUGUUGGGGUCCUGCGGCUGCCCGCAGGCCCUGAAAACCAGUGGCGGGCUCGCUAGUCACACCGAGCGCAGUAGCACAUCUCGCUCAGGGCGUGCGGCGGGCUCCAGCCGUUAAAGCACCCACCUUUCGCAAGGUUGACCCCGGAUCAGGUAGGAAUACCCGCUGAACUUAAGCAUAUCAAUAAGCGGAGGA